This 1112-nucleotide ribosomal RNA is filed under the name Salmonella enterica. RNAcentral's name for it is "bacterial SSU rRNA". It matches the Rfam family "Bacterial small subunit ribosomal RNA", at positions 1 to 1102 of the family's 1533-position model. Lineage: Bacteria; Pseudomonadati; Pseudomonadota; Gammaproteobacteria; Enterobacterales; Enterobacteriaceae. The record is from RNAcentral.
AAAUUGAAGAGUUUGAUCAUGGCUCAGAUUGAACGCUGGCGGCAGGCCUAACACAUGCAAGUCGAACGGUAACAGGAAGCAGCUUACUGCUUUGCUGACGAGUGGCGGACGGGUGAGUAAUGUCUGGGAAACUGCCUGAUGGAGGGGGAUAACUACUGGAAACGGUGGCUAAUACCGCAUAACGUCGCAAGACCAAAGAGGGGGACCUUAGGGCCUCUUGCCAUCAGAUGUGCCCAGAUGGGAUUAGCUUGUUGGUGAGGUAACGGCUCACCAAGGCGACGAUCCCUAGCUGGUCUGAGAGGAUGACCAGCCACACUGGAACUGAGACACGGUCCAGACUCCUACGGGAGGCAGCAGUGGGGAAUAUUGCACAAUGGGCGCAAGCCUGAUGCAGCCAUGCCGCGUGUAUGAAGAAGGCCUUCGGGUUGUAAAGUACUUUCAGCGGGGAGGAAGGUGUUGUGGUUAAUAACCGCAGCAAUUGACGUUACCCGCAGAAGAAGCACCGGCUAACUCCGUGCCAGCAGCCGCGGUAAUACGGAGGGUGCAAGCGUUAAUCGGAAUUACUGGGCGUAAAGCGCACGCAGGCGGUCUGUCAAGUCGGAUGUGAAAUCCCCGGGCUCAACCUGGGAACUGCAUUCGAAACUGGCAGGCUUGAGUCUUGUAGAGGGGGGUAGAAUUCCAGGUGUAGCGGUGAAAUGCGUAGAGAUCUGGAGGAAUACCGGUGGCGAAGGCGGCCCCCUGGACAAAGACUGACGCUCAGGUGCGAAAGCGUGGGGAGCAAACAGGAUUAGAUACCCUGGUAGUCCACGCCGUAAACGAUGUCUACUUGGAGGCUGUGCCCUUGAGGCGUGGCUUCCGGAGCUAACGCGUUAAGUAGACCGCCUGGGGAGUACGGCCGCAAGGUUAAAACUCAAAUGAAUUGACGGGGGCCCGCACAAGCGGUGGAGCAUGUGGUUUAAUUCGAUGCAACGCGAAGAACCUUACCUGGUCUUGACAUCCACAGAAGUUUGCAGAGAUGCGAAUGUGCCUUCGGGAACUGUGAGACAGGUGCUGCAUGGCUGUCGUCAGCUCGUGUUGUGAAAUGUUGGGUUAAGUCCCGCAACGAGCGCAAC